GGCCCCAUAGUUUAAUGGAUAGAAUGGAGGAUUCCGGUUCCUUUGAUCCAGGUUCGAAUCCCGGUGGGGUCA
Molecule: transfer RNA, 72 nt
Filed under: Mariniphaga sp.
Lineage: Bacteria; Pseudomonadati; Bacteroidota; Bacteroidia; Marinilabiliales; Prolixibacteraceae
Description: tRNA-Arg
Rfam family: tRNA
About the family: Transfer RNA (tRNA) molecules are approximately 80 nucleotides in length. Their secondary structure includes four short double-helical elements and three loops (D, anti-codon, and T loops). Further hydrogen bonds mediate the characteristic L-shaped molecular structure. tRNAs have two regions of fundamental functional importance: the anti-codon, which is responsible for specific mRNA codon recognition, and the 3' end, to which the tRNAs corresponding amino acid is attached (by aminoacyl-tRNA synthetases). tRNAs cope with the degeneracy of the genetic code in two manners: having more than one tRNA (with a specific anti-codon) for a particular amino acid; and 'wobble' base-pairing, i.e. permitting non-standard base-pairing at the 3rd anti-codon position.
Source: RNAcentral